AACGCGAAGAACCUUACCUGGGCUCGAACGGCUUUGGAUCAUCCUUGGAAACAGGGACUUCUCGCAAGAGACCGGAGUCGAGGUGCUGCAUGGCUGUCGUCAGCUCGUGUCGUGAGAUGUUGGGUUAAGUCCCGCAACGAGCGCAACCCUUGUCCUGUGUUGCCACUCCCGCAAGGGAAGCACUCUCAGGAGACCGCCAGCGAUAAGCUGGAGGAAGGUGGGGAUGAUGUCAAGUCAUCAUGGCCUUUAUGUCCAGGGCUACACACGUGCUACAAUGGGCGGUACAAAGCGCUGCAAACCCGCGAGGGGGAGCCAAUCGCAAAAAACCGUUCUCAGUUCGGAUCGCAGGCUGCAACUCGCCUGCGUGAAGCUGGAAUCGCUAGUAAUGGUGUAUCAGAAUGAUACCGUGAAUACGUUCCCGGGCCUUGUACACACCGGAGUA
Molecule: ribosomal RNA, 442 nt
Filed under: uncultured bacterium
Lineage: Bacteria
Description: bacterial SSU rRNA
Rfam family: Bacterial small subunit ribosomal RNA
Source: RNAcentral